Molecule: ribosomal RNA, 419 nt
Filed under: Salmonella enterica
Lineage: Bacteria; Pseudomonadati; Pseudomonadota; Gammaproteobacteria; Enterobacterales; Enterobacteriaceae
Description: partial 23S ribosomal RNA
Rfam family: Bacterial large subunit ribosomal RNA
Source: RNAcentral
CCUCGAUGUCGGCUCAUCACAUCCUGGGGCUGAAGUAGGUCCCAAGGGUAUGGCUGUUCGCCAUUUAAAGUGGUACGCGAGCUGGGUUUAGAACGUCGUGAGACAGUUCGGUCCCUAUCUGCCGUGGGCGCUGGAGAACUGAGGGGGGCUGCUCCUAGUACGAGAGGACCGGAGUGGACGCAUCACUGGUGUUCGGGUUGUCAUGCCAAUGGCACUGCCCGGUAGCUAAAUGCGGAAGAGAUAAGUGCUGAAAGCAUCUAAGCACGAAACUUGCCCCGAGAUGAGUUCUCCCUGAGACUUAGAGUCUCCUGAAGGAACGUUGAAGACGACGACGUUGAUAGGCCGGGUGUGUAAGCGCAGCGAUGCGUUGAGCUAACCGGUACUAAUGAACCGUGAGGCUUAACCUUACAACGCCGAAG